RNAcentral lists this ribosomal RNA (472 nucleotides) under uncultured bacterium. RNAcentral's name for it is "bacterial SSU rRNA". It matches the Rfam family "Bacterial small subunit ribosomal RNA", at positions 8 to 526 of the family's 1533-position model. The record is from RNAcentral.
AGAGUUUGAUCAUGGCUCAGAACGAACGCUGGCGGCAUGCCUAACACAUGCAAGUCGAACGAGACCUUCGGGUCUAGUGGCGCACGGGUGCGUAACGCGUGGGAACCUGCCCUUAGGUUCGGAAUAACUCAGAGAAAUUUGAGCUAAUACCGGAUAAUGUCUUCGGACCAAAGAUUUAUCGCCUUUGGAUGGGCCCGCGUAGGAUUAGCUAGUUGGUGGGGUAAAGGCCUACCAAGGCGACGAUCCUUAGCUGGUCUGAGAGGAUGAUCAGCCACACUGGGACUGAGACACGGCCCAGACUCCUACGGGAGGCAGCAGUGGGGAAUAUUGGACAAUGGGCGAAAGCCUGAUCCAGCAAUGCCGCGUGAGUGAUGAAGGCCUUAGGGUUGUAAAGCUCUUUUACCAGGGAUGAUAAUGACAGUACCUGGAGAAUAAGCUCCGGCUAACUCCGUGCCAGCCGCCGCGGUAAUAC